UAGGGAAUCUUCGGCAAUGGACGAAAGUCUGACCGAGCAACGCCGCGUGAGUGAAGAAGGUUUUCGGAUCGUAAAACUCUGUUGUUAGAGAAGAACAAGGACGUUAGUAACUGAACGUCCCCUGACGGUAUCUAACCAGAAAGCCACGGCUAACUACGUGCCAGCAGCCGCGGUAAUACGUAGGUGGCAAGCGUUGUCCGGAUUUAUUGGGCGUAAAGCGAGCGCAGGCGGUUUCUUAAGUCUGACGUGAAAGCCCCCGGCUCAACCGGGGAGGGUCAUUGGAAACUGGGAGACUUGAGUGCAGAAGAGGAGAGUGGAAUUCCAUGUGUAGCGGUGAAAUGCGUAGAUAUAUGGAGGAACACCAGUGGCGAAGGCGGCUCUCUGGUCUGUAACUGACGCUGAGGCUCGAAAGCGUGGGGAGCAAACAGG
Molecule: ribosomal RNA, 429 nt
Filed under: Acidobacteriota bacterium
Lineage: Bacteria; Pseudomonadati; Acidobacteriota
Also listed under: 2 other names
Description: Acidobacteria bacterium partial 16S ribosomal RNA
Rfam family: Bacterial small subunit ribosomal RNA
Source: RNAcentral